UGCGUUCACCCGGGGGGUCGCUAUCGAGCGGCUGAGAUUGGGCUUCCUCGCCCUGACCCGUCGAACCUGAUCCGGGUCAUGCCGGCGAAGGGAGGGAACGGCGCACCGCC
This 110-nucleotide non-coding RNA is filed under the name Caulobacterales bacterium. RNAcentral describes it as "TPP sequence". It matches the Rfam family "TPP riboswitch aptamer (THI element)". From Rfam's summary of the family: Vitamin B(1) in its active form thiamin pyrophosphate (TPP) is an essential coenzyme that is synthesised by coupling of pyrimidine and thiazole moieties in bacteria. The previously detected thiamin-regulatory element, thi box was extended, resulting in a new, highly conserved RNA secondary structure, the THI element, which is widely distributed in eubacteria and also occurs in some archaea. Lineage: Bacteria; Pseudomonadati; Pseudomonadota; Alphaproteobacteria; Caulobacterales. The record is from RNAcentral.